UAAGUUCUCAGUUUCUAUCGUAGCUGUUUGUUUGAAUCGUUCAAUUAUGAUUUUGCAUAAUUAAUUAACACUGGAAGUGAAUUUUGCAGUUAUCUUCUAAAGGGUCAACUUGGGAUGAGAUUGAUUUCGAGUUCUUGGGGAAUUUGAGCAAUGAUCCGUACAUUCUCCACACCAACGUGUUUAGCCAAGGCAAAGGCAAUAGAGAGCAACAAUUUUACCUGUGGUUUGACCCAACUACAGAUUUCCACACCUAUUCCAUCCUCUGGAAUCCUCAACUUAUCAUGUAAGCCAAACAUCUCCUUCAAUUUCCUCUAGCGAUUUACUCUGGUAAGAAAAUGAGUCAAGUCUAACUUGAGACCAAAAGCUAGCUCUAGAGAAAUGUCAAAAGGAGUACAUCAUCAAAUCAAUGAUGUAAUUUAACACAUCCUCUUGUUCACAUGAUCAAACACCUGAAGCGCAACACAGUUAAGUAGUCGAGUGUAACUUCCAAAAGCUAAGCCCAAGGAAGAGGGAUACUCAAAACUUCAUAAAGGGUACAUUUUCCAAACAAAUGUGGGAUUUUAACAUUCUGUACUAAGAUGUUUUUUUUUCUUCCUCUUUUUUCAGCUUCUCUGUGGAUGGUACCCCAAUUAGAGAGUUCAAAAACUUGGAGUCCAUUGGUGUUCCAUUCCCAAAGAAUCAACCAAUGAGGAUUUACUCUAGUCUAUGGAAUGCUGAUGAUUGGGCUACAAGGGGUGGUCUUGUAAAGACAAACUGGACUCAAGCUCCUUUCACUGCUUCCUAUAGGAACUUCAAAGCAAAUGCUUGUGUUUGGUCUAGUGGAGCAUCUUCUUGUGGUGCAAAUUCUACAACUUCUGCCUCUAACAGCAAACCUUGGCUUUCAGAUGAACUUGAUUCAACAAGCCAGGAGAGGCUGAAAUGGGUGCAGAAGAAUUAUAUGAUAUAUAAUUACUGCACUGAUUCGAAGAGAUUUCCACAGGGACUUCCUCCUGAAUGCAAUAUGUCUUAGAUCUGUGAUGAACUCAAUAUUGGUUAUGUAUAGGGAAAUUAAUACCUCGGUGUCUUGUGUUAAUGUAUAGAAAGGUGUUCAUGAGAAUGGUUUCAAUAAUUUUUGUUGUAUUUGAGAUUCAUGAAUUUAAAUUCAAAAUAAUGUUAAAUAUUUUGUUUGAUUAAUAGAAAGAAUUUUAAUUUCUAAGUUUUAAAUUUAAAAGUAGGGGAGUGUAUUUAAUUAAAAAAAUUGCAAAAAUUACUAUUUAAUUUAUGUAGUUUAACCUUAAUCAUUUCAAAUAUUUCUAAUCACUUUAAUAAAUAUAGAAUUAAAUAGUUAACGGUCAAUUAAUAUAUUCUUUAAAUAUAUUAUUUUGAUAAUAUUAAAAUUUAUUAUAUUAUAAAUUUACUAUUUAAUUUGAUUAUUUAAAGUUAAAUCUAAAAUUUAAAAAUAAUUGUCAUCGUACAAAAUAAAGAGAUUAAGAUUUUUUUUUAAAAAAAAUAGGGAUCAAGGGACCGAGUAAAUUUUAAAAUCUCUCCGAUUUACUGCACUCGUCACCCGAUUAAAUUUGGAAAGAAUUUAAGAUUUUAUAAUUAGCUAUAAUUAAGGAUUAUUCAUUAGCAUAUGUAUUAGGAUUUUUAAACUAUAUUAUUGAUUUAUGAAAGAUAAUCAAUCAGAUAAUAAUAAAUUAAAUAAUAUAAAUAUAAAUAUAAAAUUUAAUUAACUGUGAAAAUAAAUGAUUAAAUAUUUAAUAAAACUAAAAUUAGUGAAAGUUUUCAAUGCUAAAAGUAAUUUUAUAAAUGCUAGAUCAAGAAAGCUAUUAUUUAGUUGCAUUAUCAUCUGAUGUAUAUAAAGAUUUUAUAUUUUAAUAGUAAUUAAAGAUUUUUCUUAAAAAAAUAAAAUUCUAUCACUAAUUUAAAUAAACAAAUUAAACUUUCAACAUUAAUUAUUAAAUAUGUCUAAAUAUAUGUAUAAAAUCCUUUUAUUAUGUAUUAUGGAAAAUAUUUCAUAUUUUUAUUUUUGAGAUAUUUAAAAUCAUUAUUAUUGAUAGCAAAUUAAAGAAAAAUAAAUUAAAACCUUAAACUUGAUUUUAUUUAAUUUCAAAUAAUAUUAAUCAAUUGAAUAAAAUUCAAAAUAAUAAUAAUAAGAAAGUGAAUAAAAAGAAAUACAAAAUAGUAAAUAUAUAUAUAAUAAAUAAAAAGAUAUGCAGAGUGGUGACUAAAUUAUUAAUAAAUUUAUUAAAUUACAAUUUUAUUUAAGAUAAAAAUAAUUAUAUUAACAAUUAAUAAUUUCUUUGAAUAUUAAGAUGCGAGUGAUAGAAAAAUUAAAAAGAGAAUGGAAAAUAUGAAGGGGAAUAUUUAAAAUGAUUUUUUUUUUUUAAAAAAAAUUGUAACUUAAAAACAUUUUAUACCAGUUUAGGUUGAAUUAUUUUGAUUCUCAGAAUUUUUUCUUAAGGCCUCGUUGAAAAAAUAACUUGAGCCUCUACUUAAAUUUCUAGAUUCACCAUUGGUUGAAUUUGAUGUAAACACGACCAACAAUACCAAAAAUGAUGAGCUAGUAUUGCCUCAAGGACCAAUUACAAGGCUGAGAUCCAAGAGGUUGAAGGAAGCACUUCAAGGAUUUAUGAAGGAAGCACUUCAAGGAUUCAUGAAGGAAUAUACUGAAGCUUUGCAAGUUCAUUUUGAAGUUGAAGAACAAUCUGGCCAUUCCAAGUCAAUUAGGCCAAAUGUGUCCAGUUAGUAGUUAACCAGUAGUGGGUAGUUAUUUGGUAGUGGGUAGUUAAACAAGUAGUGGGUAGUUAUCUAGUAGUGGAUAGUGGCAUAGAUUAUGGGUCCAUGCAGUGAGAAGUGGCAUAGAUCAUGGGUCCAUGUAUAGUAGUGGGAAGUGGCAAAGAUCAUGGGUCUUAAUUUAGGCUAUAUAAAACAUCUCUUUUUCUAUAUUGUACAAACAGAUUAUUAAUUAUUCAAUACAAUUUGCUUUAUGCGAUUCUUCUUUGAGAGCUUAAGAGAGAUCUUGAUUCUUGACAUUGCAUCACGAAUAAGGUUUGAUACUAACUUGUAUGUUUCUUAUUCUUGCUGCUCUUGAAAUCAAUCCAUUAUAAGUGUUUUUAAUUGCAUGUUAAUUAAGGGUGCUUUAGAUUUUCUGAAUUAUUUUCUGAAUUAAGUUCCUUUUUACUAGAGUAUGUGUCGUUUCAGUCUCUAAUAGGCUGGGGUUCCGUAUCAGAAUUCUACCGGUUUGUAUGGUUGCUCCUUAAUUAAAGUCAAAGAGAAAGUGUAAAAAAAAUAUUAUGCAGGUACACUUAUUUUUACUUUAAAGUUUGAUGGAGCAAGAGUGACAUGACUCUUCAACAAUAAAUUGUGCAUUGAACUUCAAACUCUUCAAAGACUCUAUAUGAAAAAUUUCAAAUUAUGAAGAAUCAAAGAGAUAUUCUGAAUACUACGUUUGGAAGACAAAAAAAAGAAAUGACUUUAUUUUUUUUUAAAAUUCAUGAGUUCAAUUUCAACUAUUAUUUAUUUACCGUUAGAAGUUUAUAUAUGUAUAAUAUUUUUUAUAUCUUUUAUAAUUCUAUAGAAAUUAGGAGUCAAAUUGAUAUCACUGAUUAAUAAAAUUCUCUUCUAUAAAGAAAGAUUUUGGCUUGUUAAACGAUGGAUGAAUUUCAUAGUUUCUACAUCAAGUAUGAGACUUUCAAUAUUUCUUUAUUUUCUCAGAAGUGGCAAUUAUAGAAGGAAGUAGAUUUAUAUUUGAUUUAUGAGACAUUUGGUUAUAAAUAACCUUUAUUUUAUGGACAAGGAAAGAAGGCCAAUAAAUAAAGAAAUUAAUUUUUUUUCAUAAUAAGAAUUUCUUUUAUCCAUUGCAAAGAUGGUUAAUUCUUUGUACCUUCAUGUCUAGUAGCUUAUUAGGGAUCAAGCUUGUAGUGUUUUAAUAUGGGUUUCCUCACUCUUACUUAGUUAACUUAUUAAGAAAUUACGGUGACAUUCUCCAAUUGGAAUUGUUUGAUUAUUUAUAUUUCUAAUCACAUUAGUCGGUUAGAAGUGUAGUAGAACAACCUUUGGAAUAUAUAUUUGCCUUAUUCUUUAAUAAAUUGUGUGAUGAAGUUUUUUUAUAACGAGUUGAUUUUGGACUCUGCAUCGAUUGAUAUCAGAGAAUAGGCCAUAAAUAAAUUCUAAUUUAUCUAUUUUGAUCGUUAUUUUGUUCAAUUUCCAAUUGAUGUGAAACUUCAUAUUAAUAAAGUUAUCUAAAACUCCAAUAUACAAUAAUAUAAAGUCACACACCAAAAUUAAUUUUCAAGCGUUAUACUGCAUUAUUAAAUAAUAAAUAGAACAAAAAUGUAAAUAAUCAAAUAAGAAAACAAAAAUGAAAUCAGCACAAAUUUACUAAUCUUGAUAAAAUGUCAAUUCUUAAUACAACACAAAGUUAAACAAAAUUCUCUUUAGAAUUUUAUUAACCAGAGAAGAUAAUUAUUUAUAAAACAAAUUUUAAAUUCGUGUCGGCCAGUUAAAAAGGUUUUUAUAGUCUUCUAAACUCUAACCCUAAUAGUAAAAAGAUUAAUUUCAAUAUAGAAAGAAUUAUUGAUUAAAUAGUCAAACUUUCCUCAAUAAGAAUUGUAAUAAAAAUCUUUUCGCAGUUGACUUCUUAUAGGAUGAAUGAAUUUAGCUAUCUAAAUUAAGUCUAAUUAAUUUAAAAUAAGUCUAAUAAAGUACCAAAACUCCAAAAAUAAUAAAAUAAGGCUAAGUGCAUUUGGAUAAUAAUGUGUUAUAUAGGCAAAACAGGUGUUGCAUACUCCAAAUGAGUUGGAAUUCAUGUAUUAUAGCUCUUUACUUCCUUAAACUAUUUUAGUUGAUUUCUAAUCUUUUAGUAGGUACUCAUGCGUUCCAAGCUUAAUCAUCCAGUUGCUUGCUUAUUUGCAAAUUAUCAUGAAUAAUCUUUGGCGAAUUUUUUCAUGCUUUCGAAGAAUACCUUUAUUCACCUAUGAUAAUUUGAUAUUAAAUAAUUCGAAAGUUCGUUUCGAGUUUCAUAACUAGUAUUUUUGAAGAUUUUUAGAAUUUCCAUAUAUUUUAAUUUAUUUAAAAGUAAUGUCUCUUAUGGACGUAUCAGAUUUCAUAAUUCAAUUUGUGUCAAAAUAGUAACUUGAAUCAUGGUACCAUAAUUUGUGAUUCAAUUUAUAUUAAAUUAAUGCUCAUGAUAUUCAAAGCUUCAUCUUAUUACAUUUUUUUUGGUCUUAAAUAUAUAUCACUCGAUCAGCCAAACGCAUGUGCUAUUAAAGUUAGAAAUUGUCCUUGUGAUCGGGUUAGAGUUUUAAUUCUCUUAAUUCAUUAGCUAUUCUCCUAGAUUAAAAUAGAACAUUCAUGAAUGAAAAUUUUUUCUAUUGGAUGAUGAUGAUUUUAAUAAUAAUUUUAAAAAUAAUUUUCGAUACAAAUUAUGAUUCGAACUUAACUAAAAUAGUUAACAUUAUUUUUUUAAAUAAAUAAAAUAAUUAAAUUUUAUUAUUCAAAUUACAUUAUCCACCAAAUAAUUAGCUGGACCUAAAUAAAUAAAUAAAUCUAUUACCGAGAUAUUUAUUUAAUAUAUUUUUAUUAUAAAUAUCUAGAAAAAUUUAAAAAAAUUAUGAGUCUUUUUAAUAAAAAAUGUAUAUAUUUACUAAAAUAGUUUUUAAAAAAAUUGAGGGGCCAAGAAUGGUAUUAUAUAAUGCACAAUAAUAAUUUAAAAUAUUUAAAUUAUUUAAUAGAUAUAAAAUAAGAAAAUUGGUGAGGUUUGGGGGGCCGGGGCCACACCAUCUUCCCCUCUGUCCACAGUGAAGUACUUCUACCUUAAAACCCCCCAGUGCUUAGCCAUUUCCUCGUCCCACUUCAGAACAAUUUCUAUUUUCUCACUCCUAUUUCCCAUUACAAUGGCUUCUUCAAGGUUUUCAAAUCACUUAUUGUUUCUCUCUCUUGUAAUUAGCUAUCUGAUGUUUGCAUUUUCUGGGAACUUCAACGAAGAGUUUGACAUCACCUGGGGAGAUGGUCGAGCUAAGAUACUUAACAAUGGGGAGCUGCUUACCCUUAACCUUGACAAAGCUUCUGGGUCAGGAUUCCGAUCCAAGAAUGAGUAUCUGUUUGGGAAGUUUGAUAUGCAGCUCAAGCUUAUUCCUGGCAACUCUGCUGGUACCGUCACUGCCUAUUAUGUAAGUUCUCAGUUUCUAUCAGUUGCUGUUUGUUUGAAUCGUUCAAUUAUGAUUUUGCAUAAUUGAUUAACACUGGAAGUGAAUUUUGCAGUUAUCUUCUAAAGGGUCGACUUGGGAUGAGAUUGAUUUCGAGUUCUUGGGGAAUUUGAGCAAUGAUCCAUACAUUCUCCACACCAACGUGUUUAGCCAAGGCAAAGGCAAUAGAGAGCAACAAUUUUACCUGUGGUUUGACCCAACUGCAGAUUUCCACACCUAUUCCAUCCU
Molecule: long non-coding RNA, 6416 nt
Filed under: Manihot esculenta (cassava)
Lineage: Eukaryota; Viridiplantae; Streptophyta; Magnoliopsida; Malpighiales; Euphorbiaceae
Description: long non-coding RNA (MESC_LNC008437)
Source: RNAcentral